RNAcentral lists this ribosomal RNA (631 nucleotides) under uncultured bacterium. RNAcentral's name for it is "bacterial SSU rRNA". The stretch from base 1 to 537 matches the Rfam family "Bacterial small subunit ribosomal RNA", at positions 338 to 873 of the family's 1533-position model. The record is from RNAcentral.
CCUACGGGAGGCAGCAGUGAGGAAUAUUGGUCAAUGGGCGCAAGCCUGAACCAGCCAUGCCGCGUGCAGGAAGAAUGCCCUACGGGUUGUAAACUGCUUUUAUUUGGGAAUAAACCUUUCUACGUGUAGAAAGCUGAAGGUACCAAUUGAAUAAGCACCGGCUAACUCCGUGCCAGCAGCCGCGGUAAUACGGAGGGUGCAAGCGUUAUCCGGAAUCAUUGGGUUUAAAGGGUCCGCAGGCGGACCUAUAAGUCAGUGGUGAAAGCCUACAGCUUAACUGUAGAACUGCCAUUGAAACUGUAGGUCUUGAAUUCGGUCGAAGUGGGCGGAAUGUGUAGUGUAGCGGUGAAAUGCAUAGAUAUUACACAGAACACCGAUAGCGAAGGCAGCUCACUAGGCCUGGAUUGACGCUCAGGGACGAAAGCGUGGGGAUCAAACAGGAUUAGAUACCCUGGUAGUCCACGCCGUAAACCUAUGAUUACUCGUUUUCGGUCGAUAUACAGUCGGAGACUAAGCGAAAGUGAUAAGUAAUCCACCUGGGGAGUACGGAGUCGUCGAGGUUAGUUAACGUACGAAAGGAAAGUUAGUUACGGCGUUGAGACGUUGCGACGGACGACGACGAGGGAGGAGG